GAUAUUUAUGGAACGUAGAAACUUAUGUUUAAUUCUCUAGUAACUUGAGGCACUGAUGUGUUUUUAUAUGCAUUAGGCAUUAUUAAAUAUUUGAGGUUGUGUAUAAAACUUGCAUCUAAGUUUGUAGAUGAAUUCCAUGUUUUGGUGAGUAGUUAGUUGAGGGUUUUUUCAUGUCUUUCUCAAUAUUAAUCAACAUAUGAUGCUUGUACAAAUUAAGUUAACAUCAAUUUCGAUUUGAGUUUAAAUUUAACUAUAGUUCCAAUACUUGUGUCAUUGAAGUUUCACGUGCAAUGUGCUAUAUGUUAGUUUUUUGCAUACAUACGUACAUGGUUGAGAUGACUUUUCCUUAUUCCAGUUGACAUGGUUGUGGCCAUGUAAGUGUUUACCUAUUUUGUAUAAAAAAAAUUGUGAAG
Molecule: long non-coding RNA, 413 nt
Filed under: Erythranthe guttata (spotted monkey flower)
Lineage: Eukaryota; Viridiplantae; Streptophyta; Magnoliopsida; Lamiales; Phrymaceae
Description: long non-coding RNA (EGUT_LNC001102)
Source: RNAcentral